AGCGAACGCUGGCGGCAGGCCUAACACAUGCAAGUCGAACGAACCUUUCGGGGUUAGUGGCGGACGGGUGAGUAACACGUGGGAACGUGCCUUUAGGUUCGGAAUAACUCAGGGAAACUUGUGCUAAUACCGAAUGUGCCCUUCGGGGGAAAGAUUAAUCGCCUUUAGAGCGGCCCGCGUCUGAUUAGCUAGUUGGUUGAGGUAAUGGCUCACCAAGGCGACGAUCAGUAGCUGGUCUGAGAGGAUGAUCAGCCACAUUGGGACUGAGACACGGCCCAAACUCCUACGGGAGGCAGCAGUGGGGAAUCUUGCGCAAUGGGCGAAAGCCUGACGCAGCCAUGCCGCGUGAAUGAUGAAGGUCUUAGGAUUGUAAAAUUCUUUCACCGGGGACGAUCAUGACGGUACCCGGAGAAGAAGCCCCGGCUAACUUCGU
This 433-nucleotide ribosomal RNA is filed under the name uncultured bacterium. Its description in RNAcentral is "partial 16S ribosomal RNA". It matches the Rfam family "Bacterial small subunit ribosomal RNA", at positions 29 to 506 of the family's 1533-position model. The record is from RNAcentral.